RNAcentral lists this microRNA (22 nucleotides) under Malus domestica (apple). RNAcentral's name for it is "mdm-miR11006". The record is from miRBase by way of RNAcentral. Lineage: Eukaryota; Viridiplantae; Streptophyta; Magnoliopsida; Rosales; Rosaceae.
CAAUGGGGAGGAGUCAUUCGUA